Molecule: small RNA, 541 nt
Filed under: Pongo abelii (Sumatran orangutan)
Lineage: Eukaryota; Metazoa; Chordata; Mammalia; Primates; Hominidae
Description: retained intron
Source: RNAcentral
GGGGCUCUUGUUGACACGCAGGGUCUGAGCCACACCCUUCUCAUCCAGUUUGUUUCUGUCACCACAUAGCGAGAGCGGCACUGCUCACAGGACGGCUGCCCAUCCGCAAUGGCUUCUACACCACCAACGCCCACGCCAGAAACGCCUACACACCGCAGGAGAUCGUGGGCGGCAUCCCAGACUCGGAGCAGCUCCUGCCGGAGCUUCUGAAGAAGGCCGGCUACGUCAGCAAGAUCGUUGGCAAGUGGUGAGUCUCCCAGCCACGCCUGCCCAGGUGUCCUGCUCCACCCACUUCCUGGCCUUGGUUCCAAGGGACAUGGCCACAAGUUUCCAAAGAAGGAGGGCGUCUUGGGUGGGAAACGGAAGCUGAUUCUGGGUGUGUUCAGGUGUCCCCAGCGUCCCUGUGCAGGCCAGCAUGACCUUGCCAGCAGGAUCUCAGGUCACCAGGCUGGGCCCACGGCCGCGAGCAUCCUGCGGCAUCAGACUCCACAGGCCUGUCACCGUUGUCCCUCGAGUCACAGCCCCCAGCACCUGCCACCAC